This 446-nucleotide ribosomal RNA is filed under the name uncultured bacterium. RNAcentral describes it as "bacterial SSU rRNA". It matches the Rfam family "Bacterial small subunit ribosomal RNA", at positions 29 to 472 of the family's 1533-position model. The record is from RNAcentral.
AGCGAACGUUUGCGGCGGGCUUAACACAUGCAAGUCGAACGAGAAUCCCUUCGGGGAGGAAAGUGGCGCACGGGUGCGUAACACGUGGAUAACCAACCCAUUGGUUUGGGACAACACCGGGAAACUGGUGCUAAUACCAGAUGUGUCGCAGCUGUCUUCAGGCGGUUGCGAGAAAGGCCCGCAAGGGUCGCCAACGGACGGGUCCGCGUCCCAUCAGCUAGUUGGUGAGGUAAUGGCUCACCAAGGCAAAGACGGGUAGCUGGUCUGAGAGGAUGAUCAGCCACACUGGAACUGAGACACGGUCCAGACUCCUACGGGAGGCAGCAGUGGGGAAUAUUGCGCAAUGGGCGAAAGCCUGACGCAGCCACGCCGCGUGAGCGAUGAAGGUCUUCGGAUCGUAAAGCUCUGUGGGGGGAGAAGAAGAAAGCCGGUGAAGAGCCGGCCCU